UCAUCAAGUGUAUCGCAUUCGCGUAGGUCUGGGAGCUAGCAUCGCAUUCGCAUAGAGUAUUUUUGGAUCCUUGGAAUUUUGUUCUUCGCAAUUGCGAGGCUUAGGCCGCAAUCGCGAUGAAAAGAUAUCAGAACUGGGCAGAAAGUUUACAAGUUAUUUCAUCUGUGAUUUUGAGUCAUUUUUCCUCCAUAUCUGAGCAUUUUCAAAGCUUUUUGAAGUGGGUUGAAGAAGGAUUCAAGGGGAAUUACUUGGAGGGAACAUUUUUGACUUCAUAACUUAUUUUUAUGUGAUUAAAU
Molecule: long non-coding RNA, 296 nt
Filed under: Nicotiana benthamiana
Lineage: Eukaryota; Viridiplantae; Streptophyta; Magnoliopsida; Solanales; Solanaceae
Description: long non-coding RNA (NBEN_LNC006812)
Source: RNAcentral